This 567-nucleotide ribosomal RNA is filed under the name uncultured bacterium. RNAcentral describes it as "bacterial SSU rRNA". It matches the Rfam family "Bacterial small subunit ribosomal RNA", at positions 919 to 1490 of the family's 1533-position model. The record is from RNAcentral.
ACCCGCACAAGCGGUGGAUGAUGUGGAUUAAUUCGAUGCAACGCGAAAAACCUUACCUACCCUUGACAUGUCUGGAAUGCCGAAGAGAUUUGGCAGUGCUCGCAAGAGAACCGGAACACAGGUGCUGCAUGGCUGUCGUCAGCUCGUGUCGUGAGAUGUUGGGUUAAGUCCCGCAACGAGCGCAACCCUUGUCAUUAGUUGCUACGCAAGAGCACUCUAAUGAGACUGCCGGUGACAAACCGGAGGAAGGUGGGGAUGACGUCAAGUCCUCAUGGCCCUUAUGGGUAGGGCUUCACACGUCAUACAAUGGUCGGGACAGAGGGUCGCCAACCCGCGAGGGGGAGCCAAUCUCAGAAACCCGAUCGUAGUCCGGAUCGCAGUCUGCAACUCGACUGCGUGAAGUCGGAAUCGCUAGUAAUCGCGGAUCAGAAUGUCGCGGUGAAUACGUUCCCGGGUCUUGUACACACCGCCCGUCACACCAUGGGAGUGGGUUUCACCAGAAGUAGGUAGCCUAACCGUAAGGAGGGCGCGUACCACGGUGGGAUUCAUGACUGGGGUGAAGUCGUA